This 253-nucleotide ribosomal RNA is filed under the name uncultured bacterium. Its description in RNAcentral is "partial 16S ribosomal RNA". It matches the Rfam family "Bacterial small subunit ribosomal RNA", at positions 524 to 776 of the family's 1533-position model. The record is from RNAcentral.
UACGGAGGGUGCAAGCGUUAUCCGGAUUCACUGGGUUUAAAGGGUGCGUAGGUGGGCAAGUAAGUCAGUGGUGAAAUCUCCGGGCUUAACCCGGAAACUGCCAUUGAUACUAUUUGUCUUGAAUACUGUGGAGGUCAGCGGAAUAUGUCAUGUAGCGGUGAAAUGCUUAGAUAUGACAUAGAACACCAAUUGCGAAGGCAGCUGGCUACACAGAUAUUGACACUGAGGCACGAAAGCGUGGGGAUCAAACAGG